Molecule: non-coding RNA, 108 nt
Filed under: Pseudomonas lutea
Lineage: Bacteria; Pseudomonadati; Pseudomonadota; Gammaproteobacteria; Pseudomonadales; Pseudomonadaceae
Description: SAH sequence
Rfam family: SAH (S-adenosyl-L-homocysteine) riboswitch aptamer
Source: RNAcentral
CUGUCCGAGGGGCGCUGCAGCAGGUCAGACCUGUCAGGCUCGGAUGGGGCGUUGUUUGAUCAGGCUCUCGCCGAUCAAGCUUUAAACGCACAACGGCGCCCAUUCGCA